CACGGGGGGAGCAAACGUUGUUCGGAAUCACUGGGCGUAAAGGGCGCGUAGGCGGCCUCGUAAGUGGUGUGUGAAAUCUCCUGGCUCAACCAGGGAAUUGCGCUCCAAACUGCGAGGCUUGAGGGCAGUAGAGGAAGCUGGAAUUCCUGGUGUAGCGGUGAAAUGCGCAGAUAUCAGGAGGAACACCGGUGGCGAAGGCGGCAUCCUGGACCGGUAUUGACGCUGAUGCGCGAAAGCCAGGGGAGCAAACGGG
This 253-nucleotide ribosomal RNA is filed under the name uncultured bacterium. RNAcentral describes it as "partial 16S ribosomal RNA". It matches the Rfam family "Bacterial small subunit ribosomal RNA", at positions 524 to 776 of the family's 1533-position model. The record is from RNAcentral.